CUUUGCAUUAAUUGGCAAGUACAGUAAAAUUUUUAUAUAUGAGCUCGAAGUAACAGCAACGACAGAAAUUUAACAUUCCAAAAAUCGGAAUGUAACCGAUAAUAAUAUUCCCAUGAAUUCCUAGCUGUAGAAGCGAUUACAGUGAAAAAAUAUUGGGAAAUUAUGGAAAUAUUCGGGUGCUCUUCUGAGAAAUCUCUGCAGUGCACCUGCUGUUGAGUAAAUGGAGGGAAUCCUAUCUACCUGGGAGUGAGGAUGCAGGGUUCAGAUACCUGCUGACAAUGAGGGAGAUGAAAGUGGAAUGUCAAAGAUUUGAAUAAAAUAGCUCGGAGAGGCAUGUGUGAAUUGUACUACGUUUCGCUUUCACCGUUCGGGCAUUAGGUACCUACACUCCACGAAUAUCCUAUAGAGCUGUAUGAAAAUAUGUUACCCAGUAUUGAUUCCAGCAUCUCCCCAGCUACUCUCGCGAUAUCGUAGGAGAUUUUUGGACGAUGUAAAAAUAGAGAUAUUAUUCCUACCUGAGUAUUUGCUAGAUGGAGAUGGCACAGGAAAAGAACGACCCCCCAGCCGGCCGUCA
Long non-coding RNA from Diachasmimorpha longicaudata, 574 nucleotides. RefSeq lists it as uncharacterized. The transcript is spliced from 4 exons. The record is from RefSeq and is a predicted model, not a curated record. NCBI's taxonomy places the organism in Eukaryota, Metazoa, Arthropoda, Insecta, Hymenoptera, Braconidae.